This 2233-nucleotide long non-coding RNA is filed under the name Ficedula albicollis (Collared flycatcher). RNAcentral describes it as "lncRNA (ENSFALG00000025814.1)". The record is from RNAcentral. Lineage: Eukaryota; Metazoa; Chordata; Aves; Passeriformes; Muscicapidae.
AUGCGGCGGCGACCGGGCAGGGCCGGGCCCAGACGAACCGAACCGGACAGAGUCAAGCGGAGCCGAACCGAGAGAAUCCCAGCGGAGCCGAACCGAAAACGAACUGAGCCGAGCGAGGCCGAAGAAAGCCGAGCGGGCCGCGCCGAACCAAGCCGGGCCGAACCGGGCCGGGCCGAAGCUCCCCGAUCCGCCCCGAGCUCAGCCGAGCAGAGCCGAGUCGAGCCCGAACGGAGCCGAACCUUCCCGAUCCUCGCCGAGCUGAACCGAGCGGAGCCGAGCCCGGUCCGAGCGCAGCCGAACGGUUCCGACCCGGGCCGAACGCGGCCGAACCGCCCCGAUCCGCCCCGGGACGGGGUGUGGGGCAGGCCCGGUGCGCACGGCCCGUCCCCAUUGGCUACGGCCGCUCUGCGCUCCGCCAAUGGCGGCAGCGCGCGGCUUAACCCGCCGAGCGCCGCCGGCACCGGCCCCGGGGGGGGGCCGCCGAGCGCCGCCGGCACCGGCACCGGCACCGGCACCGGGCCCGGUUCUGUGUCCCACCCCAGCACUGUGUCCGACCCCGGCCCUGUGUCCGACCCCGUCCUCAUCCCUAUCCCGGCUCGUCCCCACUCCCCACUCCCCAUUCCCCACUCCCCGGGGGGGGGGGGGGGGGGGGGGGGGGGGGGGGGGGGGGGGGGGGGGGGGGGGGGGGGGGGGGGGGGGGGGGGGGGGGGGGGGGGGGGGGGCCUCCUGGCACAGCCCCAGCAAGGCUGGGCACUGUCACCCCUUGUCCUGCCCUCAGCAUCCCCACUCCCCAUCCCCGUUCCUGCCCCGAUCCCAUCUUUAUCCUUAUCCCCUUUCUCUCUCCCCAGCUUCUUCCCCACCCCCAUCCUUAUGCUCAUCUUUUUUCCCAUCCCUAUCCCUGUCCCAUGGAUCCCUAUCCUCAUUCCUGUCCCCCUCUCCAUCAUCCCAGCCCCAUCCUUGUCCCUAUCCCCCAUCUCUAUUCUCACACUUAUCUCUCCCCUAUCCCCAUUCUCAUCCCCAUCUCUAACCUCUAUCCCUAUCAUCUCCCUUCCAUCCCUGGCCUCAUCCUCGUCCCCAUCUCCCAGUCCCAUCCUCUCCCCAUCUUCAUUCUCAUCCCUGUCCUCUGUCCCCAUUCCCAUCAUCCGCAUCCUCAUCCACAUCCCUGUUCUCAUCCCCAUCAUCUCUAUUCCAUCCCUAUGCCCAUCCUCAUCCCCAUUCCUCUCUUCUUCCCCAGCCCCUCCAUCUCAUCUCACCCCGUCCUCAUUCCCGUCCUACCCCCAUCUCCAUCCCCACGCCAUCCCAUGCCAGCCCCCGCUGCAGUUACACUCCCAGCCCCACCCCACUGCCAUCCCCGCUCCUGACGGCGCAGCCCCACACUCCCCAUUCCACCCUGAAGUCCUGACCCCACCCCGCAGCCCCACCCGCUACCCCUCGGACAGAGGGGACUCCGGGGACCCCCGAGGGGCACCCCUGGCUGUCACAGCCCCAGCCGCACCCCCCACUAGUGGCUCUGCUUCCCGGUAGUAUUUUUAGAUCUAAACAUUUGUGCCGGAUUUUGGGUCCAAAAUUAGAGGGAAAAGAGCUGGAACAAACCAUGCUGGGAUGAUGCAGCUUUUUAUUGCGAAGGGGGGCAGGGAUUAAAAGGAACCCCUGGAACACAGAACAGGAUGUCCUCAGGGUGCCCCUCACCCUGUUCCCUUCACCCUAACUUCCCCCCGCUCCCGGCUGGAUGCCCCCUUAUUCAGACAAGGAAUUUUGUCCUUGGGUCGUCCUUAUUUUCCCAGUUUUAAUCCGGGAGUUAAUCCCUGCCCAAAACCCACUGCCCAGCACCCCUCCCAACAGCCUGCCCCACCCACAGCCUGACAUCCCCAGGGCAGCGCUGGGCUUUGCGUGUCCUUGAGGGGCCCUGCGUGUCCCAGGGGGCAGCAGGAUUGGCCUCGGGUGCGUGUGAUCCAUGGGAGCACACGUGUGUCAGCACACGCACGCACAGACACACGUGUGCACAGCGUAGGGACGUGUGUGUGCCCCACAGAUGUAUCUGCCAGAUGUGUGACUCCCCAGGCAGCCACAGAUGACACAAGUGUGUACCCAGGUGUGCAAACACACAGACACACAGACACAGACACAGACACACAGACACACACAGACACACACAGACACACACAGGGGGGGGGGGGGGGGGGGGGGGGGGGGGGGGGGGGGGGGGGGGGGGGGGGGGGGGGGGGGGGGGGGG